RNAcentral lists this ribosomal RNA (253 nucleotides) under uncultured bacterium. RNAcentral's name for it is "partial 16S ribosomal RNA". It matches the Rfam family "Bacterial small subunit ribosomal RNA", at positions 524 to 776 of the family's 1533-position model. The record is from RNAcentral.
UAAGGAGGGGGCUAGCGUUAUUCGGAAUUACUGGGCGUAAAGCGCACGUAGGCGGAACAGAAAGUCAGAGGUGAAAUACCAGGGCUCAACCUUGGAACUGCCUUUGAAACUCCUGUUCUUGAGGUCGAGAGAGGUGAGUGGAAGUCCGAGUGUAGAGGUGAAAUUCGUAGAUAUUCGGAGGAACACCAGUGGCGAAGGCGGCUCACUGGCUCGAUACUGACGCUGAAGUGCGAAAGCGUGGGGAGCAAACAGG